RNAcentral lists this ribosomal RNA (425 nucleotides) under uncultured Desulfarculaceae bacterium. RNAcentral describes it as "bacterial SSU rRNA". It matches the Rfam family "Bacterial small subunit ribosomal RNA", at positions 958 to 1382 of the family's 1533-position model. Lineage: Bacteria; Pseudomonadati; Thermodesulfobacteriota; Desulfarculia; Desulfarculales; Desulfarculaceae. The record is from RNAcentral.
AACGCGAAGAACCUUACCUGGAUUUGACAUCCUCUGACAGUUCCGGAACGGAAUUUUCCGACUUGUCGGAACAGAGUGACAGGUGCUGCAUGGCUGUCGUCAGCUCGUGUCGUGAGAUGUUCGGGUUAAGUCCCGCAACGAGCGCAACCCCUGCUUUAAUUGCCAGUAUUCAGUUAGGCACUCUAAAGAUACUGCCUCGGUUAACGGGGAGGAAGGUGGGGACGACGUCAAGUCCUCAUGGCCUUUAUAUCCAGGGCUACACACGUGCUACAAUGGGUCGUACAAAGGGUCGCCACUCCGCGAGGAGGAGCUAAUCCCAAAAAGCGGCUCUCAGUUCGGAUCGGAGUCUGCAACUCGACUCCGUGAAGUUGGAAUCGCUAGUAAUCGUGGAUCAGCAUGCCACGGUGAAUACGUUCCCGGGCCUU